RNAcentral lists this ribosomal RNA (439 nucleotides) under uncultured bacterium. Its description in RNAcentral is "partial 16S ribosomal RNA". It matches the Rfam family "Bacterial small subunit ribosomal RNA", at positions 339 to 795 of the family's 1533-position model. The record is from RNAcentral.
CCACGGGUUGCACCAGUGGGGAAUAUUGCACAAUGGAGGAAACUCUGAUGCAGCAACGCCGCGUGGAGGAUGACACUUUUCGGAGCGUAAACUCCUUUUAUAUAGGAAGAAGAUGACGGUACUAUAUGAAUAAGCGCCGGCUAACUCCGUGCCAGCAGCCGCGGUAAUACGGAGGGAGCAAGCGUUACUCGGAAUCACUGGGCGUAAAGAGCGUGUAGGCGGAUUAAAAAGUCAGAAGUGAAAUCCUAUAGCUUAACUAUAGAACUGCUUCUGAAACUCUUAAUCUAGAAUAUGGGAGAGGUAGAUGGAAUUUCUGGUGUAGGGGUAAAAUCCGUAGAGAUCAGAAGGAAUACCGAUUGCGAAGGCGAUCUACUAGAACAUUAUUGACGCUGAGACGCGAAAGCGUGGGGAGCAAACAGGAUUAGAUACCCUCGUAGUC